CAAACCAAUCCUAUUUUUACCAAAAUAUAGCUCUACAUCAACCAAAUAAUGCAUUCACUCUUUUUUUUAGUAUAGGCCUUAAAUAUUCGUCAACAAGGCCGCUAAAACCCAUUUCCAACCGUCAAUUGGCCAUAAAACUUGAUGCCCUCUAAUUUUUCAUUGAUUUAUAGAAAAGAAGCCCAGUGAAAUUAAGGAGCGGAUAUCCUACAAAAGAAACAGCCAUUGGAUCCGUUAAAAUUCUCCUGCAACAUGCACAAACCCUCGCUUCACAAGGUCUCUUUAAUGCUUCAAAAACAUCAACAAUCAUUCACAUCAAAACAGAGCACACUAACUAUUGAAGUAGCAGCUAGCAAGCAUAACUUAACGAAAAUGAAAAACAUCUCCAAACAUAAACUGUUUGUUAAGCCAAGACCACAACAUCUAAUGAGCAUGGUCACUCUUCCUAUUGAGCUACCAAGAUGAUGGAGAAGCAGCCGCAGGGGCAACAAAUCUAGAGACAGAUCUGGAAAUGGGACUUGCACUUGGGCUCCUGCAGUAACUAUCUCGAGAAUAUUCACGUCUUGAUGAACCUCCAUAGGAUAGACUCCUUGUGUUCUUCUUUACCUUUGGAGAAAGGCUCCUAGAGUAACUCCUCUUCGAGCUCUUCCUCACCCUUGGGGAAAGGCUUCGAGAGUAACUCCUUGAACUUCUUUUUGAUGUAGGAGAAAUGCUGCAUGAGUAGCUCCUCCUUGAGCUCCUUCUUGGUCUAGGGGAAAUGCUGCUUGAGUAGCUCCUCCUUGAGCCUCUCCUCGUCCUUGGUGGGGUAGGACUCCGGGAGACAGAAGGAUGAUGAUAUCUUCUAUAGUAUCUGUCAUCUGGUGAGUAAUAUCUAGAAUCAUAAGGUGAGAAUGACCGAUCACACCUACUUACAUGGGACCUCCUGUAAGGAGAUCUGGAGUAUGAUCGGCGCCGGCUAUAGUGGGGUGAAUAUGACCUGCGCCGAGAGUAAUAAGGAGAGUAGGAUCGGUGGCGACUGUAGCGAGGAGAAUAUGACCUGCUCCUACUGCAGUCAGAUGAAUAAUAAGGUGACCGACUAUGGCUCCUCCAAUAUGGAGAGUAGCUGGGAGAUCGACGAGGAGAAUAACUGGGUGUCCUGCGUCGCACACGAAUAGUUCUCAGCCCCAGAUACCUUCCAGGAGUAGGAGUUCGUCCUCUCCGCCUCUUAGCCUAACACAAAUUAAAAGAGUUGGUUCAUUGAAUUGCAAAACCACCAGCACUAGAAAGAUAUUUUAAAAAUUUACUCUUUUCUAAUGUAUACAUCCAUUAUAUGCAUAUAGGAUAGAAUCAAAUUGUUCAUAACAAAUGAAGUGAUAACAAAAUAAGUAUGGCAUAUAAACUUAAACAGCACAAGAUUUAAUUGCUAAAAAGAGGAGAGAAAUGCAGGGCAUACAACCCUAACAGUCUGAUACUGCUUGGUGUGUUUGAUUUGUUUGUUAGUUGUGGUAAGAACUUUGGAAUUUGAUGAAGAGCUGCUACACACAGCUAACCUGCUGCCACAGAAGCUUCAAGUGGAAAGAAGCAAACAACUUUCAAACUCAUAAGAACUAAUAGCAAACCAUCUAGAAUUCUUAACACAAAUUUAAGCAAUACAAAUUAACCAAGAUCCAAUAACCUUGUGUUGAUCAUUAUGACCAAAAUGAAUGAAGAUUUUACCUUCUCCACUGUAAUCACACGGCCUUCAAGAACAGAACGGUCCAAAUAUUUGAUGCAGCGAUCAGCCUCAUCAAUAGUGGACAUUGUUACAAAACCAAAUCCACGAGAUUCUCUCGUCCAUGGAUCAACCACCAGAUGAACAUCGAUCACCGUUCCCUCACUGGCAAAAUGCUUCUCAAGAUCUCUCUUGGUGAUACGUGGUGACAGUCCUGUCACAUACAAAUUGUUACCAGGGUUUUCCACGUCACUUGUGGGGCUCCUUGACCUGUCCCUCUCCCUUGAUCUCGACCUUGACACCGACAAAGAUCUCGACACGG
This 2009-nucleotide unclassified non-coding RNA is filed under the name Hevea brasiliensis (rubber tree). The record is from RNAcentral. Lineage: Eukaryota; Viridiplantae; Streptophyta; Magnoliopsida; Malpighiales; Euphorbiaceae.